RNAcentral lists this ribosomal RNA (253 nucleotides) under uncultured bacterium. RNAcentral describes it as "partial 16S ribosomal RNA". It matches the Rfam family "Bacterial small subunit ribosomal RNA", at positions 524 to 776 of the family's 1533-position model. The record is from RNAcentral.
UACGGAGGGUGCAAGCGUUAUCCGGAAUCAUUGGGUUUAAAGGGUCCGCAGGCGGAUUUAUAAGUCAGUGGUGAAAGCCUGAUGCUCAACAUCAGAACUGCCAUUGAUACUGUAAGUCUUGAAUUCGAUCGAAGUGGGCGGAAUAUGACAUGUAGCGGUGAAAUGCUUAGAUAUGUCAUAGAACACCGAUAGCGAAGGCAGCUCACUAGGUCUGGAUUGACGCUCAGGGACGAAAGCGUGGGGAGCAAACAGG